Long non-coding RNA from Pantherophis guttatus, 507 nucleotides. RefSeq lists it as uncharacterized. NCBI's taxonomy places the organism in Eukaryota, Metazoa, Chordata, Lepidosauria, Squamata, Colubridae. The record is from RefSeq and is a predicted model, not a curated record.
GGGGACAAAGGGAGCGGCGCGGACACUCUGGUACCACCUUCGCUGGGCCGUCGAGACUCAGCUCUGCAGCUAAGGGGCGCGGCUCCAGGAAGGGCAGAAGGCGGGGAGUGCCCGGCCCCUUCUUACCCGUCGGAUUUGCCUUUGAUGAAUGUUUAAAACAAAAAAGAAGGCAAGCUCCUUCAAAUGUGAACUCCUGCCAAUAAAACAUAAGCAUUUUCCCAGAAGUGCAGACUCCACUUAUUUGGAUCAACUGAGUGUUGUGAUAGCAGUUGACCAACUGGUUUGUUGUCCAAGUUUAUUGUCACAUGCGGAGAGAGUGACUGACCCAAGAAGACACCAAGCCAACUUUCAUGACUAAGGGCCUUUGUUUUCCUUCCCUGCUUCUUCCUUUCACAUUAAUGAUGUGGCUGAUUCCAUCAUCAAGCAUCAUGGAGUGGCUGAGAUGGUAUCAUUAUGCAAGGCAUGCAGGAUGAAAUGGCAACGCCUCUACACAUCAAGGGAACAAAA